AAAAUGACUCUCGACAACGGAUAUUUCGGCUCUCGCAUCGAUGAAGAACGUAGCGAAAUGCGAUACUUGGUGUGAAUUGCAGAAUCCCGUGAACCAUCGAGUUUUUGAACGUAAGUUGCGCCCAAAGCUAUUAGGCCAAGGGCACGUCUACCUGGGCAUCACGCAUCACGUCGCCCC
This 177-nucleotide ribosomal RNA is filed under the name Ilex canariensis. RNAcentral describes it as "5.8S ribosomal RNA". The stretch from base 6 to 161 matches the Rfam family "5.8S ribosomal RNA". From Rfam's summary of the family: 5.8S ribosomal RNA (5.8S rRNA) is a component of the large subunit of the eukaryotic ribosome. It is transcribed by RNA polymerase I as part of the 45S precursor that also contains 18S and 28S rRNA. The record is from RNAcentral. Lineage: Eukaryota; Viridiplantae; Streptophyta; Magnoliopsida; Aquifoliales; Aquifoliaceae.